Molecule: non-coding RNA, 95 nt
Organism: Psilocybe cubensis
Lineage: Eukaryota; Fungi; Basidiomycota; Agaricomycetes; Agaricales; Agrocybaceae
Source: the annotation of a RefSeq genome assembly
GGCGAUGUGGCCGAGUGGUCUAAGGCGCUGGAAUUAGGUGAUUUUCUUCACUUAUCCAGUCCGAAAGGGCGCGAGUUCGAACCUCGCCGUCGUCA